This 92-nucleotide ribosomal RNA is filed under the name Gammaproteobacteria bacterium. RNAcentral also lists the same sequence under 1 other name. Lineage: Bacteria; Pseudomonadati; Pseudomonadota; Gammaproteobacteria. The record is from RNAcentral.
CCACCUGAUCCCAUCUCGAACUCAGAAGUGAAACAGGUCAUCGCCGAUGGUAGUGUGGGGUCUCCCCAUGUGAGAGUAGGACAUUACUAGGC